Molecule: long non-coding RNA, 953 nt
Filed under: Homo sapiens (human)
Lineage: Eukaryota; Metazoa; Chordata; Mammalia; Primates; Hominidae
Description: non-protein coding TMEM161B-AS1:44
Source: RNAcentral
CCAGACACCACCGAGAGACACAGGGCUUUUUAGCGUUCACUGUAUUUUCACUUCCACCGGAUCCAAUGUGAUAAUUUAUGUGAAAUCUUUCUGCAAACUAUACAGUAUGAUAAAAAUAUAAGGUAGUUUCACUGGAAACAACAGAAGACUAGAAGCUGAUGUGACGUGGCAAUAUCAACCAGGAAUACCCAUCUCGAGUUCUGGAUAUGUGCUCUGAGAAGGUGCCCAUGUCACCGACCACACUGGAGGCCAAUGCAGAUACUGGGGGAAGGUUCCAUGGUAGCUAAGUGUGGACAAGCUAAUCACUGAAGUUCCCUGAUGCAGAGUUGAUAAUCUCUCUAGAGUUGGAUGAAAGACUGUGCUGCCUUGAAGCUCUGAGAGAUGCCAUGCCAAUUCAAGGCAGGGUCUUUAUUGUUGAAACUCUUGCGUAAUGACAUCUUUAUUCAGGUGAAAAUACAGGAUGAAUUUCAACUAUAUGAUAUUGUUUAUGUUCCUCAGACAUGUUAUUUGUCUUUACAAAGAUUGGUUUCAAUAAACUGUGUGACUGAUAUUAAAUAAACAUGGAAUUUUACACAUUCAUAAUAUUUGGUUUCUUGUGAUUUUGAUGAACUAUACUUUCAAGCAUUGUCAGUUCAUCCUCAUUUACAAGGAAACAUUUGCUGUAGCAGAGUGAUGUAGUGACUUGCUUUACUUAAGAUAAGUCAACUUUUCUAUUCAAUGUUUAAUGUGAAACUGACUUAAAAAUUUUCUUUUAGGCCACAUUUACAUUUCUGUUUGUAUAACAUGCAUUAUACUAUUUUAACUUAAUACUAUGGCUAUAUAAACCAAAGACAUCCUAAUUCUGUUUUUAAUUUAUUGUUUUGCAAGAUAAAUAAUUUUUAAUGCACUAAUGAAGCUAAGGAGUUCAUAUUAAAAGACAUGUUAUAUGACCUACUGAAGUUGAGCUAUGGAAA